UAAAUAAAUAAAUUCAUUACAUAAAGGUAUUUCACCUUUUCCUUAUCAAUUGAUGGCUAUCUUCUUCUUUGGGUCCAAAAUCCUCACAAAUUUUGAAUCUAAGACAUAAAAUGAUCAGAAAUCAUACAAAGUUGCAGUGACAAAAUUAACACAAUCAUGGGACAAUGAAAUUGUUACAAUAGUAGGGAAGAAUAAAAAGGAAAAACUAUGGAAAAAAAAUUGAUAACAAUGCAUAUAUAUUCAGUGGUUUUGGUUGGGUUUAGUGUUGAGUUAAAUCUAAAAUUAAGACUAAUCCUCAUAAGCUAUUCCUUCUUCUACUUAAUAAAAAUGUCCCCAAUGAACUGCAAUUCAGAUAGAACAUCACUAAUCUCCUUUUGGUCACUUGGGGAUUCAACUGAACACCAAUACAAUCACACAAACCCCUCAAUCAUUAUAAAAAUUUCCUUCAGCCCUUUUUAUCAUUUUUGCAAAAGAUCAACCCUUCAAUAUCAAAAUCUAUAAUUAUCACUUUUUUGCCAAAACCCAAAAAAAAACAAACAAAAAAUAGAGCUAGAGACGUGAGUGUUUACACUGAAUAAAACCGAGACAAAUGGAAAGCAAACACAUCUCAACUAAUUCAGCUAUUUCAAAUCUUUCUACAACAAUAUAGCUUUUCCCUAACAACAAAUCUGUUCCCUUUCCAACAAAUUUCACUUUCGAUAGUAUUUGAGAAGAAAUGUUAAUGGAAAAUGAAGAGAGAGAGAGAGAGAGAGUUCGGAUAUAAGCACUCAAAAAAUCCAAAAUCCAAUUACCAGAUUCAUUCAAAUGCACACAAAAUAAAACACCACUACCAAAGCGAGAAAUUUAAUCGAAGAAUUCUACAAAGCCUAUAAAAAAUUACUGAAUCUCAUAUAAAAUUACAUCAAUGAACCCAUAAAUUUAAUGAAUAAUUCUCCAACACCAGAAAUUUAAACUAAUAAUUUACUAAAAAUCAAUUAUUUUAAAUCACAAUUUUGAAUGUUUACAUGCAAUAAGUCUAUAAGGUACCUGAGGUGAUGAGGAAUAGUUUGAGACAACCUCGAUGCUGUCGCCGAAAUUGUCGAAUACAGGUCGGAAAAUAUCUCAAAAGUUUUAGGGAUUAAAUCACAAUAAUUUGUAGGUUAUCGAGAUAAGAUCUCCCAAGAUCGAUUUAGAAGGCCAGUUUCUGUGCAACUUAGUGAUCUGGGUUUUGGAUUUGCCCUUGAAUAUUAGGACGAUGCAAGAGAAAAAGGAGAGACCAUUUAGAGUUUUCCACAGAGUUACUACUGCAACCAUGGCUGCCAUCGUGUCUCCGUGGGUGCGCUUAUGUGAGUUUUCCACAGUUAUGGUUUUUUUGAACCCCUGAUCCUGAUGCGAUUUUGGGCGACUUCCGAGGAAAUCGAAGCCGUCUUAGCCUAAGUUUUUUCUAUUCGAACAAUUACCGCCCUUUGGGGUGUUUUGUUCUCGAAUUGGUGUAUGUUGAUAGGAGCAUAUUUAUGCGACUUAGUUAGCUUGUUCUUGCGCAUUUACGUUGUGUUUUCUUAGUUAUUUCAGUGUUUAAAGUUGUUUUUGUGUGUUUUCAGAUUAAGAACAAAGUAUGCAAUAAGAUGCAUUUUGGAGGCCUUUGGAGCAGUUUCGGGUUUGGAUGGAUAGCAAAUGCAUGGAGCGAGGUGGAUGGACAAAAAUUGAAGACUAAAGAGGCUAAGAAUGUGAAGAAUUAUUGUACAAAGGAUAAAGAACUCAGCCACAAUAGGGUGUCACUCCAAAAUUCACCAUUCUUGCCGUGCAAAUCACAUUGUAUUCCCUUUGGAUUCCCAUGCCAUGCUUAAUCACCCUUGUCCCCUACAUUAUUUCUGAUUUCAUGCCUCAAUACACUCAAUUAUUACACUCAAUUGCUGCAUACCUCUUGUUCCCUUCACCCAUCAGAUUUCACACAACUUUCACAACCAUUACAUGCACCAAUUGAUGCUCCAUCAGCCACAUUUAGGAUCCUAUGCCGUGUGCAACACAUGUUGCUACACCUAUGACUAAUUUCUGAAACAUUUAACCUCCCCUUUUCACUUCUAUGCAAUGUACACAAUCAUUCAUGCUCCCUAGCUGAAAUACCACUCCAUUUUACCCUCCAUACUUUGCAUCAUUGCUUCAUUUUCAUCCUUGGACCAUUGCACACCACAAAUUGACCCUUCUUGCUGUGCAUUUCCCCAUUGCCUAACCUGAUUCUCUAGGGUAUUUGGGGCCUAUAUAUACUUGUUUACACCCCUUGGCCAAGGUUACCAUCUCCCAUAUUCAUCAUUCAUCACAGAAAAUUCGUCCAUACACACCCUAGGCAGCAAAACACCCCAAAAACACCAUUCUAGUGCCCAGAAAACAUAACAGCCACUCCACCCUCUUCCACCCUUUUUGCCGAGUUCUCCACCACCCUCCAACCAUCAAACACUCCUCCACACUCACCCUAAACCUUUCCAUACCAUUCCCCAUCCAUUCUACACCAUAAAACUACCCAAAACCUGUCCACAACCCAAUCUGUCGCAAGCAAGGGAAAGGAGGAAUCUUGGAUGCACUUGCUGCCAAGUUGGAGCAUUCUAGGUG
RNAcentral lists this long non-coding RNA (2586 nucleotides) under Malus domestica (apple). RNAcentral's name for it is "long non-coding RNA (MDOM_LNC008457)". Lineage: Eukaryota; Viridiplantae; Streptophyta; Magnoliopsida; Rosales; Rosaceae. The record is from RNAcentral.